UGGUUGUAUGAAAGGAGAGAAGAUUAGCACUUCUUUCAUAAGGAUGGAAGAGGGCCUAGUGACCUUUAUAACAUACAUACAGUUAAGGCACUGUCACCUACUCUGUAGCAUAUAACCAUGUUU
Gracilinanus agilis (Agile Gracile Mouse Opossum) is the source of this 123-nucleotide small nuclear RNA. Lineage: Eukaryota; Metazoa; Chordata; Mammalia; Didelphimorphia; Didelphidae. The record is from RefSeq and is a predicted model, not a curated record.